UAAGAGCUAAAAUUAAGACUAAGAGGCGUCCACGUGUCGUUUCUUUCUUUCUCCCCCUCUCUCUCUCAAACGCGAAACAGAGAAUCCUUCGACGAUUUCGGGAAAUCGACGAUUCCGGGAAAUUGACGAUGAAUCGGAGGAAUCUCCGAUAUGAGUGAACACCGGCCGUCGUUCUUCCGUGGUCAUUGAUUGCUUCUCAGGCGUUGGUGGUUACCCUAUUCAAUUUGCUAAAGUAUGUUCUUCUGUUGUUGCUAUUGACAUUGAUCCGGUGAAAGUUGAAUUGGCUAUGAACAAUGCUAUGGUUUAUGGAGUUGCUAAUCGUGUAGAUUUUAUCAUUGGUGAUUUCAUUCAAUUAGCUCCGUCUCUUAAAGUUAGAUGGCUGAUGAGAGUGAGAGAUAUACAUGGUUAUUGGUUGGCCUACGGUGCAAGAAGAGUUCUACAAUUCUAAUCAUCCAUUAUGAGCGAAGUUGUUCGGAUUUUCUCGGGGAUGUUUGUUUCAGAUCUUCAAAUUUAAAGGUCUUGAUGCAGACGCAAAGUUUGAGUUUGCAAAGAGGAAACUUCAAGAGAGCGGUGCUUAAACCUUUGUAAAAGGAGCAAACGAUCUAUAAAUUAAUUCUUUUAUAUGCUCUGACCGGAGCAGUCACCACUCCGCUUGAUGUUAUUAAGACAAGAUUAAUGGUUCAGGGAAU
Molecule: long non-coding RNA, 689 nt
Organism: Arabidopsis lyrata subsp. lyrata
Lineage: Eukaryota; Viridiplantae; Streptophyta; Magnoliopsida; Brassicales; Brassicaceae
Exons: 5
Source: RefSeq, a predicted model, not a curated record